RNAcentral lists this ribosomal RNA (490 nucleotides) under uncultured bacterium. Its description in RNAcentral is "bacterial SSU rRNA". It matches the Rfam family "Bacterial small subunit ribosomal RNA", at positions 28 to 516 of the family's 1533-position model. The record is from RNAcentral.
GACGAACGCUGGCGGCGUGCCUAACACAUGCAAGUCGAGCGAGAAGUCAGUAACGGAUUUCUUCGGAAUGAAGUAACUGAUGGAAAGCGGCGGACGGGUGAGUAACGCGUGAGUAACCUGCCUUCAAGAGGGGGACAACAGUUGGAAACGACUGCUAAUACCGCAUAACAUUGCGAUAUCGCAUGAUAAUGCAAUCAAAGAUUUAUCGCUUGAAGAUGGACUCGCGUCCGAUUAGAUAGUUGGUGAGGUAACGGCUCACCAAGUCGACGAGCGGUAGCCGAACUGAGAGGUUGAUCGGCCACAUUGGGACUGAGACACGGCCCAGACUCCUACGGGAGCAGCAGUGGGGGAUAUUGCGCAAUGGGGGCAACCCUGACGCAGCAACGCCGCGUGAAGGAAGACGGUUUUCGGAUUGUAAACUUCUUUAAAGUGUGGAAGAAGAUGACGGUACACGACAGAAUAAGCCACGGCUAACUACGUGCCAGCAGCC